CCCUGUUCCCUCCCAGUGGGCAAGCUCAGAGUCUCACCCAUCAGACCCUGUGUCUAAAAGCCAAGGUCGGAUCUCCAGUGGUGCCCAGUGGAGCAGAGGUCUCCAGGGGGUCAGACAAAUUUGCAUGAACAGCCCCUGCAGGCAAAUGGAGAACUUCAAAAAGGCCUGGGCAGCCCAGCCCAGCACGCGGGUUCAAGAGGUCUGAGUCCACCAUGGCCUGGACCCCCCUCCUCCUCGUACUCCUCUCUCACUGCACAGGUUCCCUGUCCCAGCCUGUGCUGACUCAGCCGCCCUCCCUCUCUGCAUCCCUGGGAUCAUCGGGCAGACUCACCUGCACCCUGAGCAGUGGCUUCAGUGUUGGUAGCUACAGCAUACGCUGGUACCAGCAGAAGCCAGGAAGCCCUCCCCGGUACCUCCUGAGCUACUACUCAGACUCAAGUAAGCACCAGGGCUCCGGGGUCCCCAGCCGCUUCUCUGGCUCCAAAGAUGCCUCGGCCAACGCAGGGAUCCUGCACAUCUCUGGGCUGCAGCCUGAGGACGAGGCCGACUAUUACUGUAAUAUAUGGGAUGGCAGCGCUAAGACUUACACAGUGAUCGAGACACACGGGGAAGUGAGACAAAAAUCUGUCCCUGUUCUUCUGGCCUGGUGCUGUCACCCUUGGCUUGUGGCUCUGACAAAGUCUGCCUCAGGCGGUGGCUUCUGUUGUCAGAUUUUCUACCAAUACCUGAUUUUUCUUGGACGAAUAAAUCUGACAAUGUUAUAUCCUACUGUUGAAUUCAACUUUUCCAUUGACCCACUGCUCAAAUUUCUUCACCCUGUGCAUGUUGUGUAG
Lemur catta (Ring-tailed lemur) is the source of this 833-nucleotide non-coding RNA. The record is from the annotation of a RefSeq genome assembly. NCBI's taxonomy places the organism in Eukaryota, Metazoa, Chordata, Mammalia, Primates, Lemuridae.